This 253-nucleotide ribosomal RNA is filed under the name uncultured bacterium. RNAcentral describes it as "partial 16S ribosomal RNA". It matches the Rfam family "Bacterial small subunit ribosomal RNA", at positions 524 to 776 of the family's 1533-position model. The record is from RNAcentral.
GACGUAGGGGGCGAGCGUUGUCCGGAAUCACUGGGCGUAAAGAGCUCGUAGGCGGGGUUGCACGUCUUGGAGUAAAUCCAUCUGCUUAACGGAUGGGUCGUCUGAGAUACGGCAGCUCUUGAGGACAGAAGAGGAAAGCAGAAUUCCGGGUGUAGCGGCGAAAUGCGUAGAUAUCCGGAGGAAUACCAGUGGCGAAGGCGGCUUUCUGGUCUGAUUCUGACGCUGAGGAGCGAAAGCCAGGGGAGCGAACGGG